UGCUUCUUGAUUUCUUGUCUUUCUUCUUUUUUUCUUUUCUAUUUUUUCCCCAAAUCUCUGAUGUUAACAGUGAGGAGUGAUUUAUUUGUUGGGGGAUAAAGAAAAUAGUGUCUCUGUCCUGAGUUUGUAUCUAUCAUUGUAUUUAAAUGAACUUUUUUUCUGAUAGGCAGAAUCAAUUUGUGAACCACAUUUGAUCCCCUCAGUCCAAUUAUUGCAGAAGCUGCUUCCUGGCUCAGGUGGUGCAUGAUUUGUCCCUUUACUGAUGAUGAUGUUCACUUUGAUCACAUGAUUAAGGUGUUGUCAGUCAGACUUCUUCAUUGUGCAGUUACACUUUUCCCUUUGAAAUUCGUAAGUAUUUGAUGGGGAAAAACUUUCAAACUAUGUAAAUAUCCAGUUUAUCAUCAAACUUUCAGUUUAUCCGUUUAUUUAUUUAAAUCAGUAUGGACUCAGAGUUUCCUAGUUUAUUCAAUAUGUUAUAACCCAUUACUAUAUCUUUUAAUUUUGAUAUUCAAAUUGUCUAUGCUGAAACAUGUUUCUAGAACAUUACUACUUAAAAACUGUUCACAAUUAUUUCAUUUGGGAAGAAAGACUAGUGAUUGGGAGUGGAUAAAAAAGAAAUUUUACCUUUUAAAUACCUUUCUAUUAUCUUUGAUUUUUAAAAAAUUCUAUUUCCCACCGUAUUUUGUUUUAAGAAAAUGUCAGAAGAGGUUCUCUGGGCCAUAACAUUAGGGCUGUGAUGCUCAACUCUGACAAAAUGUUAUAAUUUGUUAAAAAAAAAAAAAAAAAAAAAAAAAAAAAACCAUUGCCAGGGCCUCAUUCCCAGAGUUUGAUGUAAUUUGUUCUCAGGUGGGGCUUGGGUAUCUAUAUUUUAAAAAAUUCCUCCAGUGAGCACUCUGGGUUGAGAAUUACUAGAUUAGGUAUGAACAAGAUCAGCUAUAUAAUUUGCAGGGUUCAGGACAAAGUGAAAAUGAGAGGCUUCCUGUUGAAACUCAUUAAGAAUUUCAAAAUGGUGAUAUCAAAUUAUUAAACUAAGAGUUUUAAGCAUGGGGGCCCUGUGAGAAUGCACAGCAUGCAUGUUCAUGAAACGAGUCCUGGGCGAGGAUAUAUACCACAUUCGGUAUAAGAAAGAAAACUACGCAAAUCAAAGGUAUACAGGCAUAAAGAAAUGGUACCAUGAGAAACAAUGGCAUAGACAUGGACAAGUAUCCAUGUGCUUUCCCUGAUUUUCCAGCUGUCUUGCAGUUAGAUGAGGACACAUGACCAGGCCUAGACAAUGGGCAGUGGGCAGAAGUGACGAAGAGCAGGUUUGAGUUCUUCAUGAUUUGUCUGAGGUCUAGAUCUGAGACAGUGUUUCCAUGAAGGUGCCGCUUGCCUCAGUGUGGUAGCCUGAGAGAAUGUGUGAAGCAGAACUCCCCGGCAAUUCUCAUAAGUUGUGUACCAUGAGCAAGAAAUAAAUCUUUUUUAUACAAAGCCAAAGAAAUUUGUUACAGCAGCAUAGUUUUAACCUAUUCUGACAAAUACCAAAAGAUACAGUUUAAAUGCUGUAGGGUGUCAGAGGAAAAAGAGCUGACUUCUUGCUGUAGGUAUCAGGCAAUACUUCAUGGAGGAUGGUAUAUUUGAAAUGGAAUGGGUAGAAUUUGCACAUGUAGAGUUGGGAAGACAAAAAUUGGAUUAAUUAACUAUUACUUCAUCGAAAACCACUCCACAUGUUAGUGGCAGCAAACAACCACCAUCUACUAUUUCCCAUGAGACUAAGGACCCAAUAGGUGGUUCUGCUCUUCUGGGCUGCAUUCAGGUAAUACAGACUGGCCUUUCUCAUGCAUCUGUGUUCAGCUGCUGGGAUGGCUGAGGGCUGGCUGGUUUAGGUUGGCCUCACUCACAUGUCUGGAGGUUGGCUGGCUGUCGUCCUCCAGCAGGCUAACAUAUGUGGUGGUGGCAGGACCCUAAGAGACAGAAUGGAAGCAUGCCAGGCCUCUCUAGGCUUAGGCCCAGAAUGAGCACAUUGUGACUUGCACUACAUUCUAUUGGUCAAAGCAAGUCAUAACACCAGCCUAGAAUCAAAGUGUGGGGAAAGAGUCUCCACUUCUUGAUAUCAUAUUUCUGGUACUUGGGAGAUAUUCAACAUUUGUGAAAUAAAUACAUAAUGAACUAGGUUCCCUGGAUAUUAGCUUUUUGGAUCUCAGUCCUUGGACUUCCGCACUUCCCUGUCUACAUGACCUACCUACGUAAUCUCAUCCUGUAUUCCCAAUUGUAUGUAUCUCUUCCCUGAAAUAUCAAUCUCUUUCCAUAAAACCAACUGCCUACUCCAUAUCUCACUAACUCUGUAAUAGGCAGCUUUUGCUUAACAUGUGCAAACCUAGACUCCUCAUAUUCCUCUCCCCCAGAUGGUUUCCUCCCAUAGUUUCAAUUUCAGUUCAUGGUAGCUACAUUGUUCUAGUUGCUCAGACCACAAACCUCGAAGUCAUCUUGGCCUCGUUUCUUUCUCUCAUACCCCAUGACCAAUCCGUUAGCCAAUCUUGUUAACCCUACCUUCCUUUCAUGGCCAGGGUACAAUUACUUUCACCCUCUCUACCACUAUCAUCAGGUUCAAACCAUCCUAAUCUGUUUGCCUUCAUUAUUGCAAUAGGUUUCUAUCCCAUCUCUAUCCUUGCUUCUGCUCUGACCUCUGCUCUUAAUGUUUUCACACAGUCUCCAAAGUGCUCUUUUAAAUAUCAGAGUCAUUUAAUGUCACCCUCUGCUUAAGGGCUCCCAGGAGUUUCUCAUCUCAUGGAAAGCAGAAGUCCAUUUACAAAGGCUUCCAAGGCCCCACAUGAACUGUUUUCCUAUUCCCACUUUGCACUCCUUCCCUACUCCUCUUUGGACUUUGUUCACUCAGCCCAGCCACACUGGCCUCCUUAUUGCCCCUAGAACACAGUAGCAUGCACCUGCCUGGGGGCUUCACUUUUGUUCUCUCCUCUGCCUGGAAUGCUCUUCCUCCUGAUAGCUGCAUGCCUCCCUUGCUUAUUUCUUUCAAAUUUCUACCCCAGUGACUUCUUCAUACCAAUAAGGACUUUCUACACCUCUGUAUUUAAAUAGCCCCCAAUAAACUAUCUCUGCAUCUCACUCUGUUUUUCAUUAUUAUUAUUAUAUUUUAAGUUCUAGGGUACAUGUGCACAAAGUGCAGGUUUGUUACAUGUGUAUACAUGUGCCAUGUUGGUGUGCUGCACCCAUUAACUUGUCAUUUACAUUAGGUAUAUCUCCUCCUCCCUGCCCCCACCCCACAACUUCUCCGUAGCCCUUCCAGCCUUUGACAUAUUCUAUAUUUACCUGUUGUUUGUUUGUUGUCUGAUUCUUUGUACUAGAACAUUAAUUUCAGGCAGGCAGGAACAGUUUUUUUUUCUACUUGAAUAUCUCCAGAGCCUAGAAAAGCUUAGAAGUGUUUUAUAAAUGAAUGAAUAAAUAGAGGUAGAGAUUCUUACAAUGGGUGAGAGACUAGGUGAGGUAAUCUGGAAGAUCAUUGCAACUCAAAUAGCCUGUGGCACCAAUAGAAGUAGAAAUUGAAUUGUUUGGCCGGGCACGGUGACUCA
RNAcentral lists this long non-coding RNA (3566 nucleotides) under Homo sapiens (human). RNAcentral describes it as "HSALNT0095779". Lineage: Eukaryota; Metazoa; Chordata; Mammalia; Primates; Hominidae. The record is from RNAcentral.